GACGAACGCUGGCGGCGUGCUUAACACAUGCAAGUCGAACGGAAAGGCCCUGCUUUUGUGGGGUGCUCGAGUGGCGAACGGGUGAGUAACACGUGAGUAACCUGCCCUUGACUUUGGGAUAACUUCAGGAAACUGGGGCUAAUACCGGAUAGGAGCUCCUGCUGCAUGGUGGGGGUUGGAAAGUUUCGGCGGUUGGGGAUGGACUCGCGGCUUUUCAGCUUGUUGGUGGGGUAGUGGCUUACCAAGGCUUUGACGGGUAGCCGGCCUGAGGGGGUGACCGGCCACAUUGGGGAUGAGGUACGGCCCAGACUCCUACGGGGGGCAGCAGUGGGGAAUAAUGCACAAUGGGCGGAAGCCUGAUGCAGGAACGCCGCGGGGGGGAUGAAGGCCUUCGGGGUGUAAACCGCUUUUGCCUGUGAAGAAGCGUGAAUGACGGUAAUUGGUAAAGAAGCACCGGCUAACUACGUG
RNAcentral lists this ribosomal RNA (468 nucleotides) under uncultured bacterium. RNAcentral describes it as "partial 16S ribosomal RNA". It matches the Rfam family "Bacterial small subunit ribosomal RNA", at positions 28 to 507 of the family's 1533-position model. The record is from RNAcentral.